UAUGUGAUCGUCUCUCGCAUAUCAAUAAGCGGAGGAAAAGAAACUAACAAGGAUUCCCCUAGUAACGGCGAGUGAAGCGGGAAGAGCUCAAAUUUGAAAUCUUAAAGGGUUUCCCUUUACGGAUUGUAGUUUAAAGAAGUGUUUUCUGUUGAGGUUUUGGUAAAAGUUCUUUGGAAUAGGACAUCAUAGAGGGUGAGAAUCCCGUAUUUGACCUUUACUUUCAACUUUGUGAUACACUUUCAAAGAGUCGGAUUGUUUGGGAAUGCAGUCCAAAAUGGGUGGUAAAUUUCAUCUAAAGCUAAAUAUUGGCGAGAGACCGAUAGCGAACAAGUACCGUGAGGGAAAGAUGAAAAGAACUUUGAAAAGAGAGUUAAACAGUACGUGAAAUUGUCAAAAGGGAAGCGUUUGACACCAGUGUUGUUUUUCUGAAAAUCAAUUAAAGAACUGUUUAUGCUAAGCUGUUUAGACUUUAUCAGCUAUCUGUUUAGUUUUGAGCUUUUCUUUAAUGCACUUUUCAGUUAACAAGUCAACAUCAAUUUCUUUUGCUGUAAAAAAGCUUGAGGAAGGUGGCUUGAGAUUCGUCUUAAGUGUUUAUAGCCUCUUGCCUAUGCAGUCGGAGAGAUUGAGGUCUGCAGCGUAGAUCCUUCGGGGCUAAAUGCAUUUGUGCUAAGUUAUAGCAUUUUAUAGACAACUUGUUGACUAUGAUUUGUCUUGUAGCUUACUCGCUUAUGUUAUUUUACCUACGCUUAGGAUGUUGACGCGCGUGUGUGCGUG
This 774-nucleotide ribosomal RNA is filed under the name uncultured Neocallimastigales. RNAcentral's name for it is "partial large subunit ribosomal RNA". It matches the Rfam family "Eukaryotic large subunit ribosomal RNA", at positions 24 to 639 of the family's 3401-position model. The record is from RNAcentral. Lineage: Eukaryota; Fungi; Neocallimastigomycota; Neocallimastigomycetes; Neocallimastigales.